AAUCAAGGAUCGUCGUCUAAUACCUGCCACGUCCUGUGGCAAACGUCGACGCCAGUCCAUCCUGGACA
RNAcentral lists this small RNA (68 nucleotides) under Bacillus sp. CECT 9360. RNAcentral's name for it is "Bacillaceae-1". It matches the Rfam family "Bacillaceae-1 RNA". Lineage: Bacteria; Bacillati; Bacillota; Bacilli; Caryophanales; Bacillaceae. The record is from RNAcentral.